This 96-nucleotide signal recognition particle RNA is filed under the name Arenicella sp. RNAcentral's name for it is "signal recognition particle sRNA small type". It matches the Rfam family "Bacterial small signal recognition particle RNA". Rfam says of the family: The signal recognition particle (SRP) is a universally conserved ribonucleoprotein involved in the co-translational targeting of proteins to membranes. Lineage: Bacteria; Pseudomonadati; Pseudomonadota; Gammaproteobacteria; Arenicellales; Arenicellaceae. The record is from RNAcentral. RNAcentral also lists the same sequence under 1 other name.
GUUAGUCUCCACAGUGGCGAUAAGUUGUGAACUCGGUCAGGCCUGGAAGGGAGCAGCCGUAACGACUGAUUCGGGUGCUGUGAUCAGGUUAGCCAC